This 875-nucleotide ribosomal RNA is filed under the name uncultured Campylobacterota bacterium. RNAcentral describes it as "bacterial SSU rRNA". It matches the Rfam family "Bacterial small subunit ribosomal RNA", at positions 28 to 916 of the family's 1533-position model. Lineage: Bacteria; Pseudomonadati; Campylobacterota. The record is from RNAcentral.
AGUGAACGCUGGCGGCGUGCUUAACACAUGCAAGUCGAACGAGAACGGGCCUAGCUUGCUAGGCUGUCAGCUAAGUGGCGCACGGGUGAGUAAUGUAUAGUUUAUCUGCCCCUUGGAGAGGGAUAGCCAUUGGAAACGAUGAUUAAUACCUCAUACUCCUACUGUCGUAAGGAUAGUAGGGAAACGUCUUUUCGCCAAGGGAUGAGAUUAUAUGGCAUCAGGUAGUUGGUGGGGUAAUGGCCCACCAAGCCAAUGACGCCUAGCUGGUCUGAGAGGAUGAUCAGCCACACUGGUACUGAGACACGGACCAGACUCCUACGGGAGGCAGCAGUGGGGAAUAUUGCACAAUGGAGGAAACUCUGAUGCAGCAACGCCGCGUGGAGGAUGACGCAUUUCGGUGUGUAAACUCCUUUUAUAUGGGAAGAUAAUGACGGUACCAUAUGAAUAAGCACCGGCUAACUCCGUGCCAGCAGCCGCGGUAAUACGGAGGGUGCAAGCGUUACUCGGAAUCACUGGGCGUAAAGCGCGCGCAGGCGGCUUGACAAGUUGGAUGUGAAAUCCUAUGGCUUAACCAUAGAACUGCAUCCAAAACUGUCAAGCUAGAGUCUGGGAGAGGAAGAUGGAAUUAGUUGUGUAGGGGUAAAAUCCGUAGAGAUAACUAGGAAUACCAAAAGCGAAGGCGAUCUUCUGGAACAGUACUGACGCUGAGGCGCGAAAGCGUGGGGAGCAAACAGGAUUAGAUACCCUGGUAGUCCACGCCCUAAACGAUGAAUGUUAGUCGUUGGAGCUCUAGUAGCUUCAGUGAUGCAGCUAACGCAUUAAACAUUCCGCCUGGGGAGUACGGUCGCAAGAUUAAAACUCAAAGGAAUAGACGG